Molecule: ribosomal RNA, 234 nt
Filed under: uncultured Sphingomonadales bacterium
Lineage: Bacteria; Pseudomonadati; Pseudomonadota; Alphaproteobacteria; Sphingomonadales
Description: partial 16S ribosomal RNA
Rfam family: Bacterial small subunit ribosomal RNA
Source: RNAcentral
UCUUCGGAUCUAGUGGCGCACGGGUGCGUAACGCGUGGGAAUCUGCCCUUAGGUUCGGAAUAACGUCGGGAAACUGACGCUAAUACCGGAUGAUGACGUAAGUCCAAAGAUUUAUCGCCCAGGGAUGAGCCCGCGUAGGAUUAGCUAGUUGGUGGGGUAAAGGCCUACCAAGGCGACGAUCCUUAGCUGGUCUGAGAGGAUGAUCAGCCACACUGGGACUGAGACACGGCCCAG